This 586-nucleotide ribosomal RNA is filed under the name uncultured bacterium. Its description in RNAcentral is "bacterial SSU rRNA". It matches the Rfam family "Bacterial small subunit ribosomal RNA", at positions 338 to 916 of the family's 1533-position model. The record is from RNAcentral.
CCUACGGGAGGCAGCAGUGGGGAAUUUUGGACAAUGGGCGCAAGCCUGAUCCAGCCAUGCCGCGUGUGGGAAGAAGGCCUUCGGGUUGUAAACCACUUUUGUCAGGGAAGAAACGGUCUGAACUAAUACUUUGGACUAAUGACGGUACCUGAAGAAUAAGCACCGGCUAACUACGUGCCAGCAGCCGCGGUAAUACGUAGGGUGCAAGCGUUAAUCGGAAUUACUGGGCGUAAAGCGUGCGCAGGCGGCUUUGCAAGACAGAUGUGAAAUCCCCGGGCUCAACCUGGGAACUGCAUUUGUGACUGCAUGGCUAGAGUACGGUAGAGGGGGAUGGAAUUCCGCGUGUAGCAGUGAAAUGCGUAGAUAUGCGGAGGAACACCGAUGGCGAAGGCAAUCCCCUGGACCUGUACUGACGCUCAUGCACGAAAGCGUGGGGAGCAAACAGGAUUAGAUACCCUGGUAGUCCACGCCCUAAACGAUGUCAACUGGUUGUUGGGAGGGUUUCUUCUCAGUAACGAAGCUAACGCGUGAAGUUGACCGCCUGGGGAGUACGGCCGCAAGGUUGAAACUUAAAUAGAAAUUACGG